AAACGCUGUGACACAAAGUCAGGUUAGUUUUGCCUAAUUAAAAAAGAAAUGAAGUUUGUACAAAGGAUACUUUUCACGAUACUGUUAGUCGGAUUUCCAAAUUUUCCAUUGUGCUCAUCUCGUUUUUAUUACAUCAUCAAUGAGUUGAAGACUUGGCCUGAUGCUCAAAACUACUGCAGGACAUACUUUUAUGAUCUAGCAACAUUUGACAACCAAAUAGAGCAAGACCAAGUUGUUCAAACAAUUGUGAGCAAAGGUUACACAGGUAGUGUUUGGACAGGCAUAUAUGAUGAUCGCUACAGCUGGAGAUGGUCCAGUGUUGAGAAAAACUUAACGUACACUAACUGGGCGAAUCAACAACCAGACAACAAUCAAGGAAAAGAGCCUUGUACUUAUAUGCAUUUUACAGGGGCUUGGUAUGAUGUGCCAUGUACAAUGAAUCUAUAUUUCUUUUGUUAUGAUGGUAAUUGAAUCUAUACUUUUCUUUCUUUACUCAUAUAUACACACUGAGAAAAAGUAUUAACAAAUGAAAUGCUAAAAUGAAUUAAAUGCC
This is a long non-coding RNA of Myxocyprinus asiaticus (Chinese sucker), 553 nucleotides long. RefSeq lists it as uncharacterized. The record is from RefSeq and is a predicted model, not a curated record. Lineage: Eukaryota; Metazoa; Chordata; Actinopteri; Cypriniformes; Catostomidae. The transcript is spliced from 3 exons.